UACGUAGGUGACAAGCGUUAUCCGGAAUUAUUGGGCGUAAAGCGCCCCGCAGGCGGCUGUUCAAGUCUGACGUGAAAUCGCUCGGCUUAACUGGGCGGGGUCGUUGGAAACUGAAUAGCUUGAGGCAAGGAGAGGGGCGUGGAAUUCCCGGUGUAGUGGUGGAAUGCGUAGAUAUCGGGAGGAACAUCAGUGGCGCAAGCGGCGCCCUGGCCUUAGCCUGACGCUCAGGGGCGAAAGCGUGGGGAGCGAACGGG
RNAcentral lists this ribosomal RNA (254 nucleotides) under uncultured bacterium. RNAcentral describes it as "partial 16S ribosomal RNA". It matches the Rfam family "Bacterial small subunit ribosomal RNA", at positions 524 to 776 of the family's 1533-position model. The record is from RNAcentral.